AGUGAACGCUGGCGGUAGGCCUAACACAUGCAAGUCGAACGGCAGCACAGUAAGAGCUUGCUCUUACGGGUGGCGAGUGGCGGACGGGUGAGGAAUACAUCGGAAUCUACUUUUUCGUGGGGGAUAACGUAGGGAAACUUACGCUAAUACCGCAUACGACCUACGGGUGAAAGCAGGGGAUCUUCGGACCUUGCGCGAUUGAAUGAGCCGAUGUCGGAUUAGCUAGUUGGCGGGGUAAAGGCCCACCAAGGCGACGAUCCGUAGCUGGUCUGAGAGGAUGAUCAGCCACACUGGAACUGAGACACGGUCCAGACUCCUACGGGAGGCAGCAGUGGGGAAUAUUGGACAAUGGGCGCAAGCCUGAUCCAGCCAUACCGCGUGGGUGAAGAAGGCCUUCGGGUCGUAAAGCCCUUUUGUUGGGAAAGAAAAGCAGCAUGUUAAUACCCCGCUGUUCUGACGGUACCCAAAGAAUAAGCACCGGCUAACUUCGUG
This 492-nucleotide ribosomal RNA is filed under the name uncultured bacterium. RNAcentral describes it as "partial 16S ribosomal RNA". It matches the Rfam family "Bacterial small subunit ribosomal RNA", at positions 29 to 507 of the family's 1533-position model. The record is from RNAcentral.